CAAAAGCAUUUGUGGUUUUUGUCAUUAAAAGUAAUGGCAAAAACUGCAAUUACUUU
RNAcentral lists this microRNA precursor (56 nucleotides) under Macaca nemestrina (pig-tailed macaque). RNAcentral's name for it is "miRNA (ENSMNEG00000003915.1)". Lineage: Eukaryota; Metazoa; Chordata; Mammalia; Primates; Cercopithecidae. The record is from RNAcentral.